CCUACGGGAGGCGGCAGUAGGGAAUAUUGCUCAAUGGGGGAAACCCUGAAGCAGCAACGCCGCGUGGAGGAUGAAGGUUUUAGGAUUGUAAACUCCUUUUGUGAGAGAAGAUCAUGACGGUAUGGCACGAAUAAGCACCGGCUAACUCCGUGUCAGCAGCCGCGGUAAUACGGAGGGUGCAAGCGUUACUCGGAAUCUCUGGGCGGAAAGGGUGCGCAAGCGGGCUUGUAAGUCAGAUGUGAAAUCCUGUAGCUUAACUACAGAACUGCAUUUGAAACUAUGAGUCUAGAGUGUGAGAGAGGUAGGUGGAAUUCUAGGUGUAGGGGUAAAAUCCGUAGAUAUCAAGAGGAAUACUCAUUGCGAAGGCAACCUACUGGAACAUUACUGACGCUCAUGCACGAAAGCGUGGGGAGCAAACAGGAUUAGAUACCCUUGUAGUC
This 440-nucleotide ribosomal RNA is filed under the name uncultured bacterium. RNAcentral describes it as "partial 16S ribosomal RNA". It matches the Rfam family "Bacterial small subunit ribosomal RNA", at positions 338 to 795 of the family's 1533-position model. The record is from RNAcentral.